AUCCAAAAGCAUGCACCUUCAUGCUAAAUGCAUUCUGAAACCAGAAUAUGCCCACCACUAUUGUGAUUGGCUCUGCACUAGCCAAUGACAGUGUUCUAUGAUACAAUAUAAAAACAUGUUUCAGGAAGCUUCUGUUCAUUCACGACUGGCUACUACUGGAAGUUGGAGGAGUGCAGUCAAGUGAGUCCAUAAAUGUGAUAUAAAUCCCUAAGGCUUCCAAGUACAUCAUUCUCAUAAGCCUUCCAAUAUCAGCAUACAAAGUGAUAAUUCCUUCCAAGUUAAGGGGUCCGUUUCUCUAAAUCUUCCAAAUAGUGCAUACAUAUAGUCUAAUCUUUCAAGGGAUGGAUGUCCUGCUUUUCUAAGUGUGAUGUCUGGUCAUGUAUGGAAAUGAACAGUACUUGUAAUUACUCUGUGUAUUUACAUUUCCAUAGUUUGUCUUUUCUCUUUGUAUUCUGAGAUACUAUUUGGAUGGAUUGCCCCAUGAACAGUGCUUACUGUACACUACCAAAUGUAAAUACACUGCUCUGUGUAUGUAAAAUUUCUUUUCGAGGCUGACUUUGAGACAGAGGGAAGAACAUUUCAGACUCGUAUGUAAGCAAGGUAGAGACAUCUGUGAGCCCAUAAUAUUGUAAAUCAACACAAACCCACACAAUUAGUGGACAAUUCCUAAUAUUUGCAACAUAAUAUUGUAUUUCCUGUUUUAAUUUCUCCUCUCACCUUUAUUUGUAUUGACAGGAACCCCUUUUGGACCAGAACAAAGACUGACAGCACAGUAAAUGACUGACCAAAAUUGUUACUAAUGUGUGGAAUUUCAGCGAUUGCUUUGACACACGGUUCAUGGUAUGACUGUUGUCCCUUUGCUUUCAUUUAGAGUCUGCAACACGAAAGGACAAUGAUGGCAACAAAUAGAGGGGACCGUGUCCUUUUCCAGAUGGUGGCUCUGGAAAAUCUUGAACACCACAGUUUUCCUCUUACUCACGAAGAGGCCCCACGACCCUACCCAUUUCAGCAAGGUGUGGUGCAUCAAGCACAAGCACCUGUUGUGUUAGAGAGAACAGUAAGUGGUGGCAGCACAACAUGGUCAUCACAACAGAACCUAAAUGACAGUGAGUGACAGAUCUCCUUUUCCUCAUUUGUAGAGCUGCUCCAGACUGGACCACUGGGAUGUUGUCAUUUUGAGUGCUGUUGUCAUAAGCUUUGCGCUGUUGGUUUUUGCGAUAGCCUACCUCAUAAUAUCACAGCGUAAAUAAGAAGAUUGUAUGGAAACAAACUUACCUGUUUGUUCAUUAAAAUGUAUUAAAGUUCAUUUUCAAAAGUA
This is a long non-coding RNA of Scatophagus argus, 1318 nucleotides long. RefSeq lists it as uncharacterized. NCBI's taxonomy places the organism in Eukaryota, Metazoa, Chordata, Actinopteri, Scatophagidae. The record is from RefSeq and is a predicted model, not a curated record. The transcript is spliced from 2 exons.